AAUUCGAUUGAGUUUGAUCAUGGCUCAGGACGAACGCUGGCGGCGUGCUUAACACAUGCAAGUCAAGGGGGCCCAGCAAUGGGCAACCGGCGAACGGGUGCGUAACACGUGAGCAACCUUCCGAAAUAUGGGGGAUAGCCGGCCUAACGGCCGAGUAAUACCGCAUACGCUCUCGAUGAGGCAUUUCAUUGAGAGGAAACCUCCGGGGUAUUUCGAGGGGCUCGCGGCCUAUCAGCUAGUUGGCGAGGUAACGGCUCACCAAGGCAACGACGGGUAGCUGGUCUGAGAGGAUGGCCAGCCACAUUGGGACUGAGAUACAGCCCAGACUCCUACGGGAGGCAGCAGUGGGGAAUCUUGCGCAAUGGCCUAACGGCUGACGCAGCGACGCCGCGUGUAGGAUGAAGCUCUUCGGAGUGUAAACUACUGUUGCCCGGGACGAAUAGCUCGAUUAAUCGAGCCUGACAGUACCGGGUGAGGAAGCACCGGCUAACUCCGUGCCAGCAGCCGCGGUAAUACGGGGGGUGCGAGCGUUGUCCGGAAUCACUGGGCGUAAAGGGCGCGUAGGUGGUUUGAUAAGGGUGUGGUGAAAGUCCGGGGCUCAACCCCGGAUCUGCCGUGCCGACUGUCAAACUCGAGGACUGUAGAGGCAGACGGAAUUCCGGGUGUAGCGGUGGAAUGCGUAGAGAUCCGGANGAAGANCGGUGGCGAANGCGGUCUGCUGGGCAGUUUCUGACACUGAGGCGCGACAGCGUGGGGAGCAAACAGGAUUAGA
Molecule: ribosomal RNA, 772 nt
Filed under: uncultured bacterium
Lineage: Bacteria
Description: bacterial SSU rRNA
Rfam family: Bacterial small subunit ribosomal RNA
Source: RNAcentral